This 500-nucleotide ribosomal RNA is filed under the name uncultured bacterium. RNAcentral describes it as "partial 16S ribosomal RNA". It matches the Rfam family "Bacterial small subunit ribosomal RNA", at positions 28 to 523 of the family's 1533-position model. The record is from RNAcentral.
GUUGAACGCUGGCGGAAUGCUUUACACAUGCAAGUCGAACGGCAGCACUGACUUGGGUCUGGUGGAGAGUGGCGAACGUGUGAGUAAUGUAUCGGAACGUGCCAAGUCGUGGGGGAUAACGUAGUGAAAAUUGAGCUAAUACCGACAACGAUCUUGGGAUGAAAGCGGGGGACCGCAAGACCUGGCGCCGUUGGAGCGGCCGAUAUCAGAUUAGGUAGUUGGUGGGGUAAAGGCACACCAAGGCAACGAUCUGUAGCUGGUAUGAGAGGAAGACACGCCACACUGGAACUGAGACACGGUCCAGACUCCUACGGGAGGCAGCAGUGGGGAAUGUUGGACAAUGGGAGAAAGCCUGAUCCAGCCAUUCCGCGUGAAGGAUGAAGGCCCUCGGGUUGUAAACUGAUUUUGUACAGAACGAAAAGGUUUCCACUAAUCCUAGGAGCUCAUGACGGUACUGUAAGAAUAAGCACCGGCUAACUACGUGCCAGCCGCCGCAGUAA